GACGAACGCUGGCGGCGUGCUUAACACAUGCAAGUCGAGCGGUAAGGCCCUUUCGGGGGUACGACGAGCGGCGAACGGGUGAGUAACACGUGGGUGACCUGCCCUCCAGCUCUGGGAUAAGCCUGGGAAACCGGGUCUAAUACCGGAUAUGACUCCAUGACGCAUGUUGUGGGGUGGAAAGCCUUGUGCGGCUGAGGAUGGGCCCGCGGCCUAUCAGCUUGUUGGUGGGGUGAUGGCCUACCAAGGCGACGACGGGUAGCCGGCCUGAGAGGGCGACCGGCCACACUGGGACUGAGACACGGCCCAGACUCCUACGGGAGGCAGCAGUGGGGAAUCUUGCGCAAUGGGCGAAAGCCUGACGCAGCGACGCCGCGUGAGGGA
Molecule: ribosomal RNA, 381 nt
Filed under: uncultured bacterium
Lineage: Bacteria
Description: bacterial SSU rRNA
Rfam family: Bacterial small subunit ribosomal RNA
Source: RNAcentral